GUGAAAUGAAAAAAAGAAGCAUCUUUCUUAAAGGCGUGAAUGAGAUUUCAGAUUACAUGGGCAGGAGGUAUCCAGAUCUCCAGAGUUUGGAAGAUGUUGACAGAAUUAAGAUAGCUACGAAUUUAUCAAUGAGGCUGACUGAAGAGAACAAAAAAAAUAAGGAACUGCAAGAUGCAAUUGAUGACAUUUUGGAAAAGCUUAAGCAACAUUGGACGGUGCAUAACAAGAGGUUAUACUUGUUUGAUAUCUUUAAACCACCCAGAACUUGGCAAGACUGUGCAGAUUAUUGUUCGGGAAAACCUUUCUCCGAAAUG
Long non-coding RNA from Lacerta agilis (Sand lizard), 314 nucleotides. RefSeq lists it as uncharacterized. Lineage: Eukaryota; Metazoa; Chordata; Lepidosauria; Squamata; Lacertidae. The record is from RefSeq and is a predicted model, not a curated record. The transcript has 3 exons.